UGAGGCCGUAUUUUUGCGAAGUCUGCCCAAAGCACGUAGUGUUUGAAGAUUUCGGUCCUAUGCAAUAUGAACCCAUGAACCAUGUCAGGUCCUGACGGAAGCAGCAUUAAGUGGAUCAUCAUAUGUGCCGUAGGGUAGCCGAGAUUUAGCUAACGACUUUGGUUACGUUCGUGAAUUACGUUCGAUGCUUAGGUGCACGG
RNAcentral lists this signal recognition particle RNA (200 nucleotides) under Staphylococcus aureus. Its description in RNAcentral is "partial signal recognition particle sRNA large type". It matches the Rfam family "Bacterial large signal recognition particle RNA", at positions 69 to 256 of the family's 256-position model. From Rfam's summary of the family: The signal recognition particle (SRP) is a universally conserved ribonucleoprotein involved in the co-translational targeting of proteins to membranes. Archaeal SRP consists of a 7S RNA and homologues of the eukaryotic SRP19 and SRP54 proteins. Lineage: Bacteria; Bacillati; Bacillota; Bacilli; Caryophanales; Staphylococcaceae. The record is from RNAcentral.